RNAcentral lists this ribosomal RNA (478 nucleotides) under uncultured bacterium. RNAcentral's name for it is "partial 16S ribosomal RNA". It matches the Rfam family "Bacterial small subunit ribosomal RNA", at positions 28 to 507 of the family's 1533-position model. The record is from RNAcentral.
GAUGAACGCUGGCGGCGUGCUUAACACAUGCAAGUCGAACGGGAAACCUUUUAUUGAAGCUUCGGCAGAUUUAGCUGGUUUCUAGUGGCGGACGGGUGAGUAACGCGAGGGUAACCUGCCUUAUACAGGGGGAUAACAACCAGAAAUGGUUGCUAAUACCGCAUAAGCGCACAGGACCGCAUGGUCCGGUGUGAAAAACUCCGGUGGUAUAAGAUGGCCCCGCGUUGGAUUAGCUAGUUGGCAGGGUAACGGCCUACCAAGGCGACGAUCCAUAGCCGGCCUGAGAGGGUGAACGGCCACAUUGGGGCUGAGACACGGCCCAGACUCCUACGGGAGGCAGCAGUGGGGAAUAUUGCACAAUGGGGGAAACCCUGAUGCAGCGACGCCGCGUGAAGGAAGAAGUAUCUCGGUAUGUAAACUUCUAUCAGCAGGGAAGAUAGUGACGGUACCUGACUAAGAAGCCCCGGCUAACUACGUG